UCGUUACCGUCACCCCGCCAAAGCACCACUAAUCUCACCCUAACCACAAAAACAACACUAAGCAGUCAUUGAUCUCACCGUUAAUCACUGGAACAGCACUAAGCCUACCACUACUCAUGACCUUUACACUUUUUAACCAAUUCAGCGCCGCGACAGUCUGUGUUGGCCCAAGCGUUGUAACAAUGAGCCGAAUAUUUCCGGUCCACUUCACGCUCUUGUCUAUAGUACCGUGAAGACUACGCGUUAUAUUUUUGGGUUUGGAAUUACGACAAUAUUGUGAGAAACAAGUCGUCGGAGUAAUUUGUAGCAUGAAUUGGUUGAGUUUUGAUUCUGAACCGUUUGUGAGUCGUGUGUCGAGGGAUGUUCGAGGUUCAAUUGGCGGUGAAAGCUUGCGUUACGUUUGAGAUGUGUUUGAGGUUGUGCUUGAGGUGAUUAGGUGCAAUUUUUGAUUUAACACUGAAGUUUGAGACCGAUCGGGUGUGUAAGAGUUUGUGAUCUUGCUAUAAACUGGGUGUUGUAAAUAGCGUUUCGUCGGUAAGAAUUUGAAGUGUUUCGGAGCAUCGACAAUGUCGAUAACGCCCUCGUUCAUGUGUGUUGUCACCUUUCUAGUUGUAGCCUUCAUUGUGCUGGGUCUUGUGGUGAUACUUAGUCCUUAUGUCAAGUAUGCCAAACACUUUACAGGCCACUGAAAGACAGAUUGUGAAAUCCUGAUAUCUUCAGAAGUUUUCAAAUCGUAGAUCGUCGAUUACUAUGGAGACUCUGUGGUCUGCUACCACGAUGGCACUCCAGAUCGCAGUCAAUAAUGCGUCUCAAUUUUCAAAUUUCUCUUCGUGCUCCUGCGAUCAUUAACCGCACCAUGGCUUUCACUGUAACCCUAAACUUACUGCUCCAAGUGUUAAUUAUCCCUCGUGUGUAUAUGAUGUGAAAAUUGAACUCUAAAACCAGCAUAAUGUGCUUAGUAUCGCACAUAUGCAUAAUUGCAGAGGUUGCACUAAAAUCUUCUAAAUAUCUUUAUUGAUAGCACUAAUUAGUGUUCGAGUAAUGCUGUAUUUGGAGUCAUUGAUCCUGAUGACAAUUGGGUUUAAAACUCCAUCUCCGACUCAGGCAAUAUUUUAGGAACGUUGAAAUUGACAUUUCAUACCCUUCCGAACGGUCGGGGAUUAACAGUGAUAAAAUUCUCACGUCACCUCCGUUAAUCUUCGCAACGGCGACUUGUCGGGAACAGUCUCUUUGAAAUUGCACAGUCUCUACGAAAACCACGAUUACUUUCGGGUCCCAUAAUCCUGCGGCUUUCGGAAAUAGGUGCCAGGUCUGGAAAACUGGUCCUGCUCAACGGGGUUCCUUCUUCACUGUACGAGAAGUGGAUCAGGCAGGGGGUUGGUGCUCUUGUUGACAAGAAAAGGAUCGUUGGAGAGGGGUCCAUUGGCACCGUCUAUCAGGCAACUACAAGUGAUGGAACGAUCUUCGCCUUAAAGAAGUUCAGCACUUUGGAAUUAAUGAGAGACGCUGAGGAGAUCGAGGUUAACAUGCGCAGCCUAGACCACGUGCGGAACCCGAACCUGGUGAAGGUUCAAGGCUUCUACUUGACGACGACGUUGAAGCUGAUCUUGUCUAAAUUCGGUCUAAAUGGAACCCUUUCAGAUUGUGUGCACAAUUCAAAUCAGGCUGUAAAUCCCUCACUGGGUCAGCAAAUGUGUAUAUGGAUGAGAGGUUGGAGGGAAAAUUAAUGACUUCAGUCCAAGCUGGAAUACCACAAGGCACUCAGUUACGUUGCUCUUGAACAUGCUUGAGAAGCCUGCGCGUUUAUGAGAAGUGUGACGUUUAAGUUCUUAAGGGUGCAACAGGCAGAUAGCCUUGUGAAGGUAGGCACUGUUCUGGUGGGAAUCCACGUUAGAGACAAAUUGGAACAGAGGAGACUUUGGGAGUGCAUUUUCCCGUGAUCCAGCGAUUAUGGUGGUUGAAGCUGUGAAUAUUAAUUUUGCGAUUAUCUGCACUCUCCAGGUAAGUGACAAUGGCUAUGGAGGUGCUUUAUCCUCUCAUCUCUUUUGGAUCAAUGUUGCAGUUUUGUGAAUAUGCCGAACAGUUGUGCAAGUAAUGGCUACAUGCAACAUAUUACAUGGAAGACACGUAAAUAGCAUAUGCAGUGUGUGCCCAUAUCCAGUGCAGUUGACAGAAGCACAUGGCCACAUUAACUGCCUCAACCUGCUCAUCACGUACAUGACUGAAAUAGGAAGUGUAAUAACCUUUCGUUUGCCUCAUUUGCAAGCGAACAAGUAAAUGUAAACAAGAACAUACAGAAAUUAGUCA
This is a non-coding RNA of Physcomitrium patens, 2307 nucleotides long. Lineage: Eukaryota; Viridiplantae; Streptophyta; Bryopsida; Funariales; Funariaceae. The record is from RefSeq and is a predicted model, not a curated record.